RNAcentral lists this ribosomal RNA (736 nucleotides) under bacterium symbiont of Ardisia brevicaulis. RNAcentral's name for it is "bacterial LSU rRNA". It matches the Rfam family "Bacterial large subunit ribosomal RNA", at positions 1 to 783 of the family's 2925-position model. The record is from RNAcentral.
GGUCAAGCGAACAAGUGCAUGUGGUGGAUGCCUUGGCGAUCACAGGCGAUGAAGGACGCGGUAGCCUGCGAAAAGCGACGGGGAGCUGGCAAACGAGCUUCGAUCCGUCGAUGUCCGAAUGGGGAAACCCGGCCCUUCUGGGUCAUCCUGAGCUGAAUACAUAGGCUCAGUGAAGCGAACGCGGUGAACUGAAACAUCUAAGUAACCGCAGGAAAAGAAAUCAACCGAGAUUCCCAAAGUAGUGGCGAGCGAAAUGGGAUCAGCCUGUACUCUUUAUCACGACCGUUAGCCGAACACUCUGGAAAGUGUGGCCAUAGCAGGUGAUAGCCCUGUAGGCGAAAGCGGAUGUGUGGAACUAGGUGUACGACAAGUAGGGCGGGACACGUGAAAUCCUGUCUGAAGAUGGGGGGACCAUCCUCCAAGGCUAAAUACUCGUGAUCGACCGAUAGUGAACCAGUACCGUGAGGGAAAGGCGAAAAGAACCCCGGGAGGGGAGUGAAAUAGAUCCUGAAACCGCAUGCAUACAAACAGUCGGAGCCUCGCAAGGGGUGACGGCGUACCUUUUGUAUAAUGGGUCAGCGACUUACGUUCAGUAGCAAGCUUAACUGAUUAAGGCAGGCGUAGCGAAAGCGAGUCCGAAUAGGGCGUUCAGUUGCUGAGCGUAGACCCGAAACCAAGUGAUCUAUCCAUGGCCAGGUUGAAGAUGCGGUAACACGUACUGGAGGACCGAACCCAC